This 66-nucleotide transfer RNA is filed under the name Benedenia hoshinai. Its description in RNAcentral is "tRNA-Tyr". Lineage: Eukaryota; Metazoa; Platyhelminthes; Monogenea; Capsalidea; Capsalidae. The record is from RNAcentral.
GCUAGUUUAGUAUAAGUAUUAAUACAAAAGACUGUAAAUCUUUGAAUAAUUUAAAAUUAACUAGAA